Long non-coding RNA from Herpailurus yagouaroundi (jaguarundi), 2899 nucleotides. RefSeq lists it as uncharacterized. NCBI's taxonomy places the organism in Eukaryota, Metazoa, Chordata, Mammalia, Carnivora, Felidae. The record is from RefSeq and is a predicted model, not a curated record. The transcript has 3 exons.
GAUACACGUAUCCCCUCGAAUUGGAGUUUGAGAGACAGCACAUUCCUCAGUGGGGGAGGGGCAGAGGGCAUCCCAAGCAGAUUCCAUGCUCAGCCCUGAACUAACUCAGGGCUCCACGCCACCACCGUGAGAUCAUGACCUGAGCAGCACUCAAGAGUCGGAGCUUAACCGACUGAGCCACCAGGGCGCCAUAUCUCGUUCUGCUUUGAACCACAUUGUUUUUCUGACAGAGUUGUGUCUAGGAAGAAGCCCCUGGAUAGUCUCCUUUGGGAGCUUAUCCCUUCCUUAAAACACCAUGCUUUCUUGAGUGAUUGGACUGUCCUCCCAACUAUUAAGACAAAAGCCGGCUGAGGAAGCUUGAUUGCGAAAUAGCAGCUUAAAUUCAGGCCCCAAUAUUGUGCUUAAAAUGAAGGUCUCACUUUUUGCCAUCUAUUUUUAUGGGAUUCGUAGGCUAUUGUACCUGCAUAGUCCAGGCCCUUAAAGCUGGCCUGCCUUGAUAUGGGUCAGAACAACACGACUGACCGCAUAAAAAGAGAGGGCCCUCUGACUUUUUCUGCAGGUCGUCAAAGGCAACAGGAUGUUCACUGGGAGGUGCACGGGGUACAGCUUGGAGACUCUGAACUAUCAGAGCAACUCCUUCUUCCUUCCCGUCUCUGACAAUGCUCUGUGCUCUGCCCAGAAGGGCUGGAGACGGCAAUGAAGCUCACUGGGGUUCUACUCAUACCUCGAGGGACUGCAUAAAGAUCCACUCCUUUAGAGAAAAAAGAACCCGCCUCCGAUUCCAGGCCCAGAACCAGAAUGAUCAGUCCUGAAGCAACCCGUGCCCUGUAGCAUCUGGACCAUCAGCUCAUUGAGGAAGUAUCAUGUUUGAUACAUAACUCCCACCCCCGACAUUCCAGGAUCAAAUAUUGAAUGGAACUUUAAAGAUGACAUAGGUAACUGAACUGCCUCUGGGGAAGCAUUGUUCCAAUUCGGAGCAGUUUCAAGCAGUUUCCGGGUGAACAAUGAGAUCAGAGCUGUAAGAGCCCACCAGGUUCUCCAGCCUGAUUCUGUCGAGGAAACUGAAGAGCAGGUAAGUAAAUUUAUGUGCCCAAGGUCACUUAGCUAGUUCGCGUUUCCAACCGGAACUCACUUCGGACAUCCCGCAUCCAUGCGGACAGUCCUCCCCUUCGUUCUGCCGUUCCUGCUGGGUAUGGAAGCCCUGCUCCCCAGGAGAUUUAGAACAUUCUUCCCAGGAUGGCACAGCAUCUCCAGACACCCCCGCCCCAGAAAACCGUCCGCCUGCUGCAGCAACUGCCUGCCUGUGUCCUCAGGGCUACACUCCCUGGGACAGGGGUGGUCCCCCACAGUAACGCUGAAGCUGUUCCUGCCACAGCAGCCCUGACCCAGCUGGCAGAGGCCCAUCUGCUCCGAGACCGGCCUCCCUGCCUCCUUCCAGCACCACACGGCGGCUGGACACUGAGGACCUCGCUCCCCUCCCGUGGAAAGACCGAGCACAGCAGAAGACCUUGAACCGACAAGAAAUGCUCCAUCCCUGUUUACCGAGGGCGACUAUCUGCCGGCCGGCAAGCCACCGUGAUUUUCAUCAGGGCGGCCGGAUUUAGGAAAUACAAAUACAGGACGCCCGGUUGCGUUUGCCUUUCAGGUAAACAAAUACUUUUUUUUUUUUUUUUUUUUUUUUUUUUACUAUUCAACUAUGUCCCAUGCAGUACUGGGGGCCUACCUAUACUAAAAUAUUAUUAUGUGGCUGAAAUUCUGAUUCACCGGGGUGACCUGCAGUUUACCUGGCAACCCCAUUUUAACAUUCCACCAAAAUGAACUGAAAAAAAUUUUCCCGUGCAGCACAGGGUCUGCAGUUGCAGCCAGGGUGGAGGAAAGCAAGUACGGCUGCGAUGCAUUUGCCGCAGCAAAGAGGUGAUUAGACGUCUGGUAUGUUCUGCAUUAGGCAUUAAGCACAUGCCACCCGUGCCUACCAAAGUGCCUCCUUCAAAGCCUGGGCAAUGAUUUACAAAGCAGUAAAAAUGGAAAUUCACUCACCCCCAAAUCCAGCCGGGGGGCGGGGGGGGGGGGGGGGGGGGCGGGGAACAUCAAGUCCUGCCUGCAGUUACCAAGGAAAAAGAGAAACAAACUGUGACAAAACCGAAUCACUGCAAAAGUGUUUCCUUGCACAGAAGCAGAGCGCUGAUAACAGGGGGAGUGGAUUAUGUAACAGCUUGCCAUCUCCAAAUGGAGAGCCUUCCUGGGAUCCUUCCGUGUUGGAGGUGCUGCGGCUUGUGGUCACACACACACCCACACACACACACACACACACACACAUUCUCCACCUACUCCCCCACCUCCCGGCUUCAAAAUGCAUCAGCUUUGACUUUGGCUGACUCAGCAGUCUGGAACGAAUUGCUUCCAGUCAACUUUGCGGCUCGCUUAAAAUGCCGUAAGGACUACUUUGACUCAUGCGCAGAAACAGUCUUGUAUUUAUCCUACAAGUCAACGGAAGGCCUCUGAUGGGCAAAAUACUGUGCAAGCCAGUGAGGGAGGAUGGGAUGUGGGGUGUGACGGAGGACGGGGUGGGACAGGACCGACACAGUCCUGUCCUCAGAGAGCUCAGAAUCCAGAGUGAAAGACUCCCAAAGACGUGCUUCCUGCACCAGAAGUACAAACAUGUGCUGUCCAGAAAAUCAGUUCCACAUUUGGGAAGGAAGAGGUGAAGACAAGGGGGUAGGAAUGCGAAGCCAGGGAGGUAGGAAACAUGCAUGCUGGACUCUUGUCCAUUUUAUAAAGUGAUGUAUGCAUGCAGGCAGGAAGAAUCUCAAUGUAUUGUCUAAAGCACAUGUGCGGGGCGCCUGGGUGGCUGGAUCAGUUAAGCAUCCGACUUUGGCUCAGGUCAUGAUCUUGCAGUUCG